This 73-nucleotide transfer RNA is filed under the name Sulfobacillus acidophilus DSM 10332. It matches the Rfam family "tRNA". Rfam says of the family: Transfer RNA (tRNA) molecules are approximately 80 nucleotides in length. Their secondary structure includes four short double-helical elements and three loops (D, anti-codon, and T loops). The record is from Rfam by way of RNAcentral. Lineage: Bacteria; Bacillati; Bacillota; Clostridia; Eubacteriales; Clostridiales Family XVII. Incertae Sedis.
GGGCGCGUAGCUCAGUUGGUAGAGCAGCUGACUCUUAAUCAGCGGGUCGCGGGUUCGAAGCCUGCCGCGCCCA